UUGAGCUCUCGGCACAGUGCUGAUGCACCAGUGUCGCUCGUCCCAUCACUAGGCUCAGCCAUUGCACUCCGGCUGUGCUGACCCCUGCGAAUUCCCCAAAUGUGGGAAUCUCGACUGCAUAAUUUCUGGUAGUGGGGGACUGCGUUCGCGCUCUCCCCUG
Molecule: small nuclear RNA, 160 nt
Organism: Toxotes jaculatrix (banded archerfish)
Lineage: Eukaryota; Metazoa; Chordata; Actinopteri; Toxotidae
Product: U1 spliceosomal RNA
Exons: 1
Source: RefSeq, a predicted model, not a curated record